Gymnodraco acuticeps is the source of this 1915-nucleotide long non-coding RNA. RefSeq lists it as uncharacterized. The record is from RefSeq and is a predicted model, not a curated record. NCBI's taxonomy places the organism in Eukaryota, Metazoa, Chordata, Actinopteri, Perciformes, Bathydraconidae. The transcript has 4 exons.
AACAUCACAGUGACAAGUGUCACCACCACCUCCAUUGCUCUGAGUCGGACCACAGACAGUAAGAACUGUGCAGUUGUCCUUCCUGAACUUCAGAAGCUUUCUUAUGAGUGCAGCUGUAAAUCUACUCAAUCAUAUGAGAAAACUGUCGCUGACAAAAAUCAAUUCGGAGGAACAUGUCAAAUGUAUGGACUGAAACCAUACACCGAGUAGAACUGUGCAGUCCAACCCAUAUACAACAAAAACUAUGUUCCUGCACCAACUCAUGUAAAACAGAGGACAACGAUUGGAGGUGACUGCUUCCAAUGGACAAAACGAGCAUCUGUCACCACUUCCUGUUUGUGGUGUUUUAAUUCAUGCCAACAAUUGUUAAUUAACUAAGUCAUUUUGACACUUGUAGACUCUCUCUUUUCAUUCAUUGUAUUUAACUCUUAUGUCACAGACAAUGACAAAGCUGUCAUAGUUAGUCUGGUCUUCUUCAUCAUGGCAUCUGUGGCCUUCGCCGUGGUGCUCUAUAAGAUCUACACUCUGAGGCUCAGAAAGUCCAGGAAGUAAAUACUUACUUAGUUCUUACCCCGACUCUAUCAGUUUGACUUUUACAUUCUCUCUGGUUUGUUUUACAGUUGUUUAAGUUUGAUAUUAUUACUAUUAUUUACAGUAAAGAAUGAGAUGACAUUUUUAAAUGAUAUUUAUUAAGUUUUAUCUCGUCUUUUUUAGGCAGAGGUAACACAUUACAUAUAUAAAAGCUAACUGUUUAAUACAUUAUUGAAUAUUAUAAUAUGUUAUAUUCUAUAUAAAUGUUUUUACAUAAAGCUAAUCUGAGCUUUUUUCUUCACACCGAUGCAGAUGUGGAGGAAAAUGCUGUGAUUGAACUAACAGAAAUUUAUGCUAAUGUGCCUCAAUCUGAAUGCCGCCGUAGAGACUCAACCUGAUGAAGGCCUGAUGGAGCUGCCAACCAAAUCAUCAUUUACUCAUGUGACGUAGCUGUAUACAGCCUAUAGAAAUACUUGUAAUCUGCUUACACUGGCAAUGGUGUUUUUAUGUUUUAGUCGUUUUGGGUUGUUAUGCUUUAAUGUGUGCAUUGUAACAAGUGGAACAUUUAAGUUUUGUAUUCAAAUGCUCUUAUAUGAUUAUAACCGGUUUUAUUGUUCUGUUGAGAUUACAUCACAUUGUCCUUUUAUAUUUACAUCCUUGCCAGACGACACCACCUAAAGAGAGGGAAAUGAAUAGCAAGUUGUUAAGUCUUGCAGAUGCAGACAGGUUGAUAUGUACAGCAGCUAAAGGUAUUGGUGGUGUGUUAACUCUUUUGUUACAGCUGCCGUUUUUCACAUGUGUGUAUAUGAUGUAUUACCUCUCAUUUGUAUGACCAAUAAUUACUGAAAAAGCAAAAAAAUCAAAUAGUAGUGCGCUUGUAACCAUAAAACAUCACAUUUAAUGUUUUCUUUUUCUUUAAGAAGUUAUUACUAUUUAAGAAUCAAUAAUUAAACCAAUAUACACUUUUGGUAUUGGUAACAGUAAGGAAAUGAUUAUAACAUUCCAACCAAAUUGGCCCUAAUCUGAAAAGAUGCCAAGCUAAUUCCAUGUAGCCAUUGGUAUCCAAUAGUCCAUUGUGCUAUGAGUGGUGGUGUAUUUAGGCCAUUUUUUUGUUACAACAUGACAGGAAAUACCACAUCACACAUUUACUUGAGGAGUUCAGACAAAACCUACAAUCAUACAUUUUUAUGUUGUGUUAAAAAAAGAAAAUGAAGUUAUAUAAAUAAUAUACUUACCAUUAAGCUGGUUUCACUUGCCAGUUGUCGAUCAGAGGAAAACGCCCUCUUGCUGUAAAUUCAGGAAUCAUGAUACAUGUCCCCCUUUCAAAGUUCAGUCCUUUAAUAAAUGACUAAUCUGGUGCAGGUCUUCAGGUGUGAAACAGUAA